AUUUAAAUAAUUUAAUUAAAAUAUUGAUUUGUGGUGUCAAAAAUGUGAAAUGAUUUCAUUUUAAAUU
Molecule: transfer RNA, 67 nt
Filed under: Eligma narcissus
Lineage: Eukaryota; Metazoa; Arthropoda; Insecta; Lepidoptera; Nolidae
Description: tRNA-His
Source: RNAcentral